CUCUAGCGCGCGCGCGCGCGCUCUGUUCAUGAUCCUCUGGUCAACGCCCUCAACUGACUUAUCUCCUGGACUCCACGAAGCCGGUGGGUUGGCCUCUCUCUUUUCGUUUCCUCUGGUCAACGCAUUCAGCUGACGAGCGACUUACCUCUCUCCUCUCUCUCUCUCUCUCUCCUGUGUCGUCUAGUCAACGCUCUCCUAGAUUCCCGGAAGCCGGUUAAUCGCCUUUCUUGCUCUCUCCCUCUGUUCAUGAUCCUCCGGUUAACGCCCUCAACUGAGGGCUUGUCUCCUGGAUUUCACGAAGCCGAUGGGUAGGCCUCCUGUCUUUUCGUUUUCUCUGGUCAACGCCCUCAGCCGAAGAGUGACUUGACCUCUCCUCUCUCUUUCUCUCUCUUCUUUCCCCUCUGGGUAACGCUCUCCUGGGUUCCAGGAACCCGGUGAGUUGACCUUUUUGCUCUCUCU
This 459-nucleotide long non-coding RNA is filed under the name Spirodela polyrhiza (greater duckweed). Its description in RNAcentral is "long non-coding RNA (SPOL_LNC001194)". The record is from RNAcentral. Lineage: Eukaryota; Viridiplantae; Streptophyta; Magnoliopsida; Alismatales; Araceae.